This 468-nucleotide ribosomal RNA is filed under the name uncultured bacterium. RNAcentral describes it as "partial 16S ribosomal RNA". It matches the Rfam family "Bacterial small subunit ribosomal RNA", at positions 28 to 507 of the family's 1533-position model. The record is from RNAcentral.
GACGAACGCUGGCGGCGUGCUUAACACAUGCAAGUCGAACGGAAAGGCCCUGCUUUUGUGGGGUGCUCGAGUGGCGAACGGGUGAGUAACACGUGAGUAACCUGCCCUUGACUUUGGGAUAACUUCAGGAAACUGGGGCUAAUACCGGAUAGGAGCUCCUGCUGCAUGGUGGGGGUUGGAAAGCUUCGGCGGUUGGGGAUGGACUCGCGGCUUAUCAGCUUGUUGGUGGGGUAGUGGCUUACCAAGGCUUUGACGGGUAGCCGGCCUGAGAGGGUGACCGGCCACAUUGGGACUGAGAUACGGCCCAGACUCCUACGGGAGGCAGCGGUGGGGAAUAUUGCACAAUGGGCGGAAGCCUGAUGCAGCAACGCCGCGUGCGGGAUGACGGCCUUCGGGUUGUAAACCGCUUUCGCCUGUGACGAAGCGUGAGUGACGGUAAUGGGUAAAGAAGCACCGGCUAACUACGUG